UGAUGAAGGCCCUUAGGGUUGUAAAGUCCUUUUGGCGGGGAAGAUAAUGACGGUACCCGCAGAAGAGGCCCCGGCUAACUUCGUGCCAGCAGCCGCGGUAAUACGAAGGGGGCUAGCGUUGCUCGGAAUCACUGGGCGUAAAGCGCACGUAGGCGGACUCUUAAGUCGGUGGUGAAAUCCUGGAGCUCAACUCCAGAACUGCCUUCGAUACUGAGAGUCUCGAGUCCGGGAGAGGUGAGUGGAACUGCGAGUGUAGAGGUGAAAUUCGUAGAUAUUCGCAAGAACACCAGUGGCGAAGGCGGCUCACUGGCCCGGUACUGACGCUGAGGUGCGAAAGCGUGGAGAGCAAACAGGAUUAGAUACCCUGGUAGUCCACGCCGUAAACGAUGGAUGCUAGCCGUUGGCAGGCUUGCCUGUCAGUGGCGCAGCUAACGCAUUAAGCAUCCCGCCUGGGGAGUACGGUCGCAAGAUUAAAACUCAAAGGAAUUGACGGGGGCCCGCACAAGCGGUGGAGCAUGUGGUUCAAUUCGAAGCAACGCGCAGAACCUUACCAACCUUUGACAUGUCCCGUAUGGGUACCAGAGAUGGAACCCUUCAGUUCGGCUGGCGGGAACACAGGUGCUGCAUGGCUGUCGUCAGCUCGUGUCGUGAGAUGUUGGGUUAAGUCCCGCAACGAGCGCAACCCUCGCCCUUAGUUGCCAUCAUUCAGUUGGGCACUCUAAGGGGACUGCCGGUGAUAAGCCGCGAGGAAGGUGGGGAUGACGUCAAGUCCUCAUGGCCCUUACAGGUUGGGCUACACACGUGCUACAAUGGCGGUGACAAUGGGAUGCAAUGGAGCAAUCCUGCGCAAAUCUCAAAAAGCCGUCUCAGUUCGGAUUGCUCUCUGCAACUCGAGAGCAUGAAGUUGGAAUCGCUAGUAAUCGCAGAUCAGCACGCUGCGGUGAAUACGUUCCCGGGCCUUGUACACACCGCCCGUCACACCAUGGGAGUUGGUUUUACCUGAAGACGGUGCGCUAACCGCAAGGAGGCAGCCGGCCACGGUAGGAUCAGCGACUGGGGUGAAAGGGUAACAAGGUAGCCGUAGGGGAACC
RNAcentral lists this ribosomal RNA (1091 nucleotides) under uncultured bacterium. RNAcentral's name for it is "bacterial SSU rRNA". It matches the Rfam family "Bacterial small subunit ribosomal RNA", at positions 406 to 1512 of the family's 1533-position model. The record is from RNAcentral.